Molecule: long non-coding RNA, 1350 nt
Filed under: Homo sapiens (human)
Lineage: Eukaryota; Metazoa; Chordata; Mammalia; Primates; Hominidae
Description: long non-coding RNA NONHSAT163368.1
Source: RNAcentral
CGACGGGAAGGGGGAGUGACCCUCCUAGGUGUGAGGGGAAAUACAGGGUCACUUCCCAAUAGACUUAAGGAGAUGUUGCCCUAGGUCCUCCUCGGUCAUCGUGGGACAGAGGCGAUUGUUGGGAACUGCUAGUCUGGAAAGCGGGGCUGCUUCUCCGGGAUGAGCCCGAGCCCUGCCAAGCCCCUCAAGGCAUUGAAGCUUUAGCUCACCUUAUCCGAAUGGUCAUUGGGCAUCUGGACUUGAGUUAACGACUGAAUUUUUCUGGGAAGCAAGGGACACGUUCUAAAAUAACCCCAGGAUCACUCUCCGAACUUGGCCUGAGUCUAGGCAAGCAGUGUUACUCGGUCGCCUUGAUCUUGGAGCUGCUGUGUACUGGGGACCUCAUACUAGUUGGGUUAACUAUAUUCCCAUUAGCAGUACGCGGGAUCGCAGUACUCGGGACAAGCUGAGUUCACCUCCUAAUUUUCCUUUUAGAUGGAGGAAAACGGGCUGGGAUUCCCUGCAGCACUUAGCACACGCUGCUAUGAGUAACACGAUCUGGAAAGACAGCGCUAGCAAGGAAUGAGGAGUGAUACAGUGACUGGAGGCUAAGAGAUAAUGUCUGCAAGUCACCUAAAACCAUUGCAGACACAGGGAGAUUGAUGGAUUUGGAGGACUUCUGGUUGUGAAGACUCUGACGAUUGCUAAAGAGUUAAGUGAAAUACUAGCGUGGUUUUUUUGUGUGUGUUUUUUGUUUGUUUGUUUGUUUGUUUGUUUAUAAAAACAGGCAGAAUGUAGCCCUAUUAAUUGUAAACUGGCAAGAUAAACCAGGAUGCCAGUAACCACUAGACGACAGAUUGUCAAGAAAUCCAGUAAUAACCAUCCACAAGAGUUUAAAGUACAGUGAGGCAAAAUCCUGAUGGCUUUAAAAGAAUAAAGCCUACUGUACCAAUUAGUAAACUUUUAUGAUAGUGUUAGACCAUUAGUGAUAAUGAGGAAACAUUGGAUUUAAUAUAUUUGAACUGUGGUAAGAUGUGAUUCUUUCUUUUUGUCAACACAUUAAAAGAGAUAAAAAGUUCCCCUUUUUGGCUGACUAUUUGAUAUCUAGGGUACAAAUGAACAUCCAGAUAAAGAGGUCCUGAACUUCUGCCAAUACGGGACUGGCAGACUGGUGGAUAUGUGCAUCUUGCAAGCUAAAACACAUGCCAGGCACAGGUCAUGGCGCUAUCUACGGCCUUCCCCACCGCAUCCUGUGUCUGUAAAGACUCCAGACUCAGCUGGCAGAGGAGAGAAGUGGCUGGAUGUUGGGAAGAAGCAAGUUGACCUCAGAGAAAGCAGCUGGAUGUCAGAAAGAGGCAAUUUGACUUCCGA